AGAUUCAAGAUGAGAUUUCCCAACUUCGGUUAUAAGAUCCCUCGAAGAUGACGAGGUUAAUAGGUUCGAGGUGGAAGCGUGGUGACACGUGGAGCUGACGAAUACUAAUCGAUCGAAGACUUAAUCAA
This 128-nucleotide ribosomal RNA is filed under the name Staphylococcus epidermidis. RNAcentral's name for it is "partial 23S ribosomal RNA". It matches the Rfam family "Bacterial large subunit ribosomal RNA", at positions 2795 to 2925 of the family's 2925-position model. The record is from RNAcentral. Lineage: Bacteria; Bacillati; Bacillota; Bacilli; Caryophanales; Staphylococcaceae.